Molecule: long non-coding RNA, 648 nt
Filed under: Solanum lycopersicum (tomato)
Lineage: Eukaryota; Viridiplantae; Streptophyta; Magnoliopsida; Solanales; Solanaceae
Description: partial TCONS_00178757
Source: RNAcentral
CUAAACUCUUGUUAAGCGUACGAAAUUCGUGUAUUUCCUUCUGUGAUGUUGAGAAUGAUUUGGAGACUUGUUGUUUAUUUGUUGGUGUUGUAUUUCUUGUUGUAAAUUGUGCUUUGUUAUCAAAUGGUUAUCGCCUCCUUUUCAUUUGAGCAUGUCAUUGCAUGGUAUCUGAGACAUAGUUGUGGUAGAGGAUGAUGUACUAUUUUCGAGGUUUGUAUCGCGCGCCGCCAUGGAUAUUAUAUUUCGAGGGACGUAUCGCGCCGCGAUGAUUACGAUUAUCGAGGGUUGUGUCGUGCGCCGCGACAGAUGCAUGGACAGGUAUGUCCCCCAUGGGUCCCGGACUGAAAGAUAGCGGGUGUGUAUCGUUAGGGAAGACAUGCAUCACUAUACUUUACAUCGCAUCUGAUGGUAUUGCACAUUUUAUUAUUGAUGAACUUGAACUUGUGUUUUGUUGAUCUUGUGAGUGUUUCUCUGUGAAGUUUGUGACUGUUGAAUAUUGAGUUGUUAUUGAGAAUGUGUAAACUGAUAGAGUGUGGUUAUUUAGUUGUGUGUUUGGUAAACUGUAAACUGUUAGACUGUAGCAUGGAGGUCUAGAUAGGGUGUAAGGAGUACCCGUAUUUUAUUCACUUAACUUGUGUUUAGAGGUUU